RNAcentral lists this long non-coding RNA (955 nucleotides) under Citrus maxima (pomelo). Its description in RNAcentral is "long non-coding RNA (CMAX_LNC002348)". The record is from RNAcentral. Lineage: Eukaryota; Viridiplantae; Streptophyta; Magnoliopsida; Sapindales; Rutaceae.
GAAGUUUUAAAUUUGAAAAUUAAAAAUAGAUUUUACCAUUGAAAAAUAUUAAAAUUAAAUCUAAAGAAUUUGAAAAAUCCAAAAUUCUUACCCGUCCCUCUCACUGUCCUUCUCACUCGCUUGCUCUGUCUCUCUCUCAUUCACCUUCCCUCUCACUCACCAGCUCUGUCUCUCUCAGUCACCCUCCCUCUCACUCACCCGAUCUGCCUCUCUCACUCACCCACUAGCGAGCUAUUUCUCUCAGGCUGUCACUCACCCACGAAACUUGUUGUCACGCCACUACCAUCGCCGACCAGCCCAUCGCCGACCAGCCCAUCGCCGACAUCGUUGUCACGCCGUUCACGUCGCCGACCAGCCUUACUUGAUGGUGUGCUUGACGAUUUUGGACCUUUUUGUCCUACCUAGGUAAUUAAAUUUAGUAUGUUGAGGAAAGUUUUGAUUUAUUGUAUUUAUAUUUUAAAAUUAUUAGAAAUAAGUUAUUUGAAAUGUAGAUUUUGUUUGAAUUAUAUAUGAUUAAUACAAUUUAUUUUUCAUGGUAUUACAAAGAAAAGGUUGGGAAGAAAUAUAAAAAGAAAAUUAAGGUAAAAUUAAACUACUUAGUUAAUUAUUCUACAAUUAAUUUAAUUUUAAUUUAUCUUUUUAUGGAUUUGCAGGAUUCAAAUGUACAAACAUUCGUUAUCUUCUGAGGUGGAUAUUGUAGUCCCAACGCAGGAGAGCAAUAAGGAUCCAGUAAAUUUUAUGUUCUUUGAUGUAAUACAAUUUAUUAUUUUAAUUUUUAAUGGCCACUAAAUCUGCCAUUAUUAUAUUUUAAAUGGUCACUAAAUAAUGGUCAUUAUUUAGGAACCUGUGUUCACAUACCAAUCAUAAGGAUGUGAAAUUUAUCCAUCGUUUCCUUUUUAUUCUUACAUUGUAAGUUAUAAUCCAUUUUUUAUAUUUAUGCCUAGUUAAUUUUGCA